Molecule: ribosomal RNA, 301 nt
Filed under: uncultured bacterium
Lineage: Bacteria
Description: partial 16S ribosomal RNA
Rfam family: Bacterial small subunit ribosomal RNA
Source: RNAcentral
CAGCAGCCGCGGUAAUACGAAGGGUGCAAGCGUUAAUCGGAAUUACUGGGCGUAAAGCGUGCGCAGGCGGUUGUGUAAGACAGGUGUGAAAUCCCCGGGCUUAACCUGGGAACUGCGCUUGUGACUGCACAGCUAGAGUAUGGCAGAGGGGGGUGGAAUUCCACGUGUAGCAGUGAAAUGCGUAGAGAUGUGGAGGAACACCGAUGGCGAAGGCAGCCCCCUGGGCCAAUACUGACGCUCAUGCACGAAAGCGUGGGGAGCAAACAGGAUUAGAUACCCCUGUAGUCCCUGUCUCUUAUAC